CCCAGGCUAGCCUAACCCGGCUAUUACGCGACUAAUCUUAGGCGCAUCCGCUUUCCUAAAUACAGACAAAUAUAAUGUGAUUGGUUAUUCGUAUUUCAUAAAAUUAAUGAAUUUUACGAGCUAAAAAAAUUAACUUACAUAGAAGCACAGAACUACUGAGUAUCCCCUAGUCUGUACAAUUACAUUAGAUGACAUAAGAGUUAUUGUUAGGGGGUAAAAUUAGUGCCAGCAGCUGCGGUUAGACUAUGCCCUUUCUGUUCAGCAAGGCCUACUAAACUCGCCCUUAGCUCCAGCAGAGUGGUAGAAAAGUAAGCGUUAAGCUCUGCGUAUUUAGUAGAAGGCGCCUAUUAAAAUAGGAUUAGAUACCCUAGUAUUUUUGUUUAAUUCACCUUAUAAAUAAAGAUAAAAUGAAAAUAUUUGGCGGCCCUAGGCUAUUAGAGGGGCUUGUCUCUAAACGAUAAACCGCGUUAAAUCUCACUUAAAUAAAUUUUGUAUACCUUCAUGUAAGCUGUCUUGGAUAGAAAGAGCUGUAAAUAGUAGAUCAAGGUGCAGAGAUGUCUAAGUACGAUUAGCCACAAUACCUAUCAAUACACGAAUAUAAACCCUAUCAGGCGGAUUUAAUUUUAAUAGUUAAGCAGAUGAAUAUUCAGCCUGGGGUGUUCAGAUCGCCCGUCACUCCCCAUGGGAUAAGUCGAAACAAAGUAAGCUCACUGGAAAGCGAGCCU
Molecule: non-coding RNA, 725 nt
Organism: Hyalella azteca
Lineage: Eukaryota; Metazoa; Arthropoda; Malacostraca; Amphipoda; Hyalellidae
Source: the annotation of a RefSeq genome assembly